This 393-nucleotide ribosomal RNA is filed under the name uncultured bacterium. RNAcentral's name for it is "partial 16S ribosomal RNA". It matches the Rfam family "Bacterial small subunit ribosomal RNA", at positions 523 to 918 of the family's 1533-position model. The record is from RNAcentral.
AUACGGAGGAUGCGAGCGUUUUCCGGAUUUAUUGGGUUUAAAGGGUGCGUAGGCUGUGCGUUAAGUCAGGGGUGAAAUGCCGUCGCUCAACGACGGAGCUGCCCUUGAUACUGGCGUGCUGGAGUACGGAUGCCGUUGGAGGAAUGAGUGGUGUAGCGGUGAAAUGCUUAGAUAUCACUCAGAACACCGAUUGCGAAGGCAUCUGACGAAUCCGUCACUGACGCUGAGGCACGAAAGCGUGGGGAUAGAACAGGAUUAGAUACCCUGGUAUUCCACGCCGUAAACGAUGAUGACUAACCGUCGGCGAUAGACAGCCGGUGGCCAAGCGAAAGCGAUAAGUCAUCCACCUGGGGAGUACGUCGGCAACGAUGAAACUCAAAUGAAUUGGCGGGG